Molecule: long non-coding RNA, 1980 nt
Filed under: Ananas comosus (pineapple)
Lineage: Eukaryota; Viridiplantae; Streptophyta; Magnoliopsida; Poales; Bromeliaceae
Description: long non-coding RNA (ACOM_LNC012961)
Source: RNAcentral
UAACUCUUCAAUUGUGCGAAGGCGGCGAAGUUGGCGAAGGCGAUAAUGUAUCGGCGCCGGUGAUGACGACGACGACAUACUAAUGUCGACAACGGGGAUAAAUGAGAAAGUAUAUUACAAAAUAAAUAUUUAAAAAUAUUUUAAAAAAUAUAGAUAAAAAUUAAAAAAUAUAUUACUAAAAAAUAUAUACUUUAUAUUUGAGAAACGUAUAUGUGAAAAUAAGAAAAAAUAAAAAAAUAUAUACUAAAAUAGUAUAAAGGCACAUUAAAAAAAAGAAAAAUUUUCAUAUGGGAUUAAAAUACCUCUUUAAUUAUGAUGAAAGGCGGCGAACACGAAAAUAUAUCGGCAUAGGCAAUGAUGAUAAGUAGGACUAUGACGAUAUACCGCUGUGAUAAAUGAGGAAAUAUGUUGCUAAAAAAAUAUUUGAAAAAAUAUAGAUAAAAAGAAAAAUUAAUACUACUAAAAGAUAAAUGAGAAAAUACCAAAAAAGAUAUGCUAACAAAAAAAAUAUGAUGUAUAUAUUGUGUAAUAAAUAUUAUUAUGAAAUAAGAUUGGGUAGUGUAGAUAUUAUAUGCGAGGGUAUUAAGAUAUAUUCUAUAUUUGAGAAUGUGGAGAGUAUUUUUGUGGGUAUUAUUUAAAUAUUGAAUAUUUUGCUAAAAAAAUUUAAAAUUAUAUUUAAUUAACGAUUUAGUUUUGAUUGGGCGGGUAUUAAUUUUUUUUAGAAAUAUUCUAUGCUUUUAUGAUACAUUAUUUAAAUACUGAAUAUUUUACUAAAAAUAUUUAAAAUUAUAUUUAAUUAACGAUUAACGAUUUAUUUUGAUUUUGGGAUACUAAAAUUUUUUUAGCAAUAUUUAACGCCUCUAUGGCGCGCCAAAUUUUAAUACUCGUCAAAAUUAAAUCUACUAUCUUAUGUGAGGAAAAAUCUACUAUUAUGAAUUAAAAUUCAAAUUAUCAAAUUCGGGGCUAUUAAAUUUUAGCGGGCAUUACAAAUUUAAAAUUUAAUUUUGAAUAUUACGUCAUGGGCAGGUAUUACGUUACGUGAUUAGCGGAGGUAUUACGUGAUUGUCGGGUAUUACGUUAGAUAAGAGGUAAAUUUAGUUUUACGUAUUAUAUGAUUGGUGGGUAGAAAAAAAAGAAUUUUGAGAAACACGGCUUAAAUGGGAGAUAACGGAUAUGGAGGAUAUUUUUGUCAAUAAAAAUGGCAAAUACUUUUAUUUUUAUUCAUUGGAUGAGAUCAGAAGUAACGAAUAUGGAAGGUAUUUUUAUCAACAAAAAUGAUAGAUAAUUUUAUUUUUAUUCAUCGGAUGAGAUCCAAUGGCGAAAACUUAAAAUCUAUAUUUAAGAAUAAAUUAUUAUUUAAAGAUUUAUUUAAAAUGGAUAAGAUAUAUUCUAUAUUUGAGAACGCAGAGAAUAUUUUGGUGGGUAUUAUUUAAACAUUGAAUAUUUUGUUAAAAAUAUUUAAAAUUAUAUUGAAUUAAUGAUUUAGUUUUGAUUGGGCGGGUAUUAAUUUUUUUUAGAAAUAUUCUACACUUUUAUGAUGCAUUAUUUAAAUAAUAAAUAUUUUGCUAAGAAUAUUUCAAAUUAUAUUUAAUUAAUUAUUUAGUUUUGAUUUGAGGGUACUAAAAUUUUUUUAACAAUAUUUAACGCUUUUAUGACGCUCCAAAUUUUAAUACUCGUCAAAAUUAAAUCUACUAUCUUAUGUAAGAAAAAAUCUACUAUCAUAAAUUAAAAUUUAAAUUAUCAAAUUCGCAGGUAUUAAAUUUUGGUGGGAAUUACAAAUUACAAAUUUAAUUUUGAAUACUACGUGUUGGCAGAUAUUAUGUUUGAGAAUAAAAAAUAUUUGAGAAAACACGUGGAUAGCAAAUAAAUUUAAUUUUACGUAUUACGUGAUUAGCGGAUGGUAUUACGAGAUUGGUGGGUAUUACGUUUUAGAUAAGAGAUAAAUUUAGUUUUACGUAUUACAUUAUUGGUGGAUAGAAA